Molecule: long non-coding RNA, 627 nt
Organism: Budorcas taxicolor (takin)
Lineage: Eukaryota; Metazoa; Chordata; Mammalia; Artiodactyla; Bovidae
Exons: 3
Source: RefSeq, a predicted model, not a curated record
CGAAGCUCACAGUCAUCCCUGGACUGGUCAUGGUGAUGGGGGAGCAGUGAGACCUUCAGUCUGUCGAGGCCCAUCCCUGGAAUCGUGUGGUCAGCUUCCCUGCAAGGACAUGAGCUCUCAAAGCGGGGGAUGGACACCCAGAGAAAAUCAGGGCACUGAGUCAGAGGGACUGGAUGGCACGUGUUCCCAAACAGCACAUUUCUUCAGGAAAGAAACAUCUUCACUCCCUUCUCUGAGCUUGGAGGCAAAAGAACUGGGGGCUCAGUCAGGACAGGAAUGAGGCCCUGAGGAAAGGAAGCACAAGGGUCUGUGGACUUUGGCAAAUGCAUGGCCUGUGUUCACCGUUACAGUAUCAUACAGAAUGGUUUCCCGGCCUUAAGAUUCUCCUGUGCUCUGCCUGUUCAUCCCGCCCUCCUAACCACUGGUGACCACUGAUCUUUGUGCUGUCUCCACAGUUUUGCCUUUACCAGAAUAUCAUGUAGUUAGAAUCACAAAGUAAUUAGCCUUUUAAGAUGUCUUCUUUCACUUAGUAAUAUGCACUUAUGUCUCUCCAUGUCUUUUUGUGGCUUGAUAGUUCAUUUCUGUUCAUCACUGGAUAAUAUUCUCUGGUCUAUAUAUAGUAAUAUC